Molecule: small nucleolar RNA, 107 nt
Organism: Gossypium raimondii (Peruvian cotton)
Lineage: Eukaryota; Viridiplantae; Streptophyta; Magnoliopsida; Malvales; Malvaceae
Rfam family: Plant small nucleolar RNA R71
About the family: R71 is a member of the C/D box family of snoRNAs containing the C (UGAUGA) and D (CUGA) box motifs. Multiple nearly identical copies of this snoRNA have been identified in Arabidopsis, and it is thought to function as a 2'-O-ribose methylation guide for 18S ribosomal RNA.
Source: Rfam
AUCUCAUGAUGAGGACACUUACAAAGCAAUUCCUUGAAUCUUUCCCAAGCCUCACACAAAUACUCAUCAUCCAAUUGUUGGAAAGUAGUUAUCACAUUACGCAAUUU